This 74-nucleotide transfer RNA is filed under the name Candidatus Berkelbacteria bacterium CG10_big_fil_rev_8_21_14_0_10_43_13. RNAcentral describes it as "tRNA-Trp". It matches the Rfam family "tRNA". From Rfam's summary of the family: Transfer RNA (tRNA) molecules are approximately 80 nucleotides in length. Their secondary structure includes four short double-helical elements and three loops (D, anti-codon, and T loops). Lineage: Bacteria; Candidatus Berkelbacteria. The record is from RNAcentral.
AGGGGUAUAGUUUAGCGGUAGAACGGCGGUCUCCAAAACCGCAAGCCGGGGUCCGACUCCUCGUACCCCUGCCA